GCGCUCGUAGCUCAGCUGGAUAGAGCACCAGAUUCCGGUUCUGGGUGCCGGGGGUUCGAAUCCUCUCGGGCGCGCCA
This 77-nucleotide transfer RNA is filed under the name Oscillospiraceae bacterium. RNAcentral's name for it is "tRNA-Arg". It matches the Rfam family "tRNA". Rfam says of the family: Transfer RNA (tRNA) molecules are approximately 80 nucleotides in length. RNAcentral also lists the same sequence under 2 other names. Lineage: Bacteria; Bacillati; Bacillota; Clostridia; Eubacteriales; Oscillospiraceae. The record is from RNAcentral.